This 281-nucleotide long non-coding RNA is filed under the name Elaeis guineensis (African oil palm). Its description in RNAcentral is "long non-coding RNA (EGUI_LNC032184)". Lineage: Eukaryota; Viridiplantae; Streptophyta; Magnoliopsida; Arecales; Arecaceae. The record is from RNAcentral.
CUGCGGCGGCCCCAUCGCCUCCAUGGCCUCCCACCACCAUCGUGGGCCGACACAUCCCCGCCAUCGACGUCCGAUCCAUGCUACAGGCAACCCCCAUACCCUAUCGCUGCAGGCAACCCCCUACCCCUCUCCUCCUCCACCUUCGGAGACCGAUGCCCUCAUGCCCCCAUCCAACUCCUCCACCUUCCUCUUCCCCCACUCAAAUGCACCCCCCUUUGGGGUUCCACCUUCCUCCCCCAUCGUCGCAAGCAACCUCCUACCCCCCUCCUCUGCCACCCUUG